Hypanus sabinus (Atlantic stingray) is the source of this 2265-nucleotide long non-coding RNA. RefSeq lists it as uncharacterized. The record is from RefSeq and is a predicted model, not a curated record. Lineage: Eukaryota; Metazoa; Chordata; Chondrichthyes; Myliobatiformes; Dasyatidae. The transcript has 3 exons.
CACCUAAAUUGGAACCAAGUAAUCAAGUAUGAAAAAAGAAACUGUGAUGAACUAUUGCUAAAGCCACGAAUAUUGCUGAAUACUAGUCUCAAAAGUGUUAGACCUGUGGUGAGAGAUUUAUUUGAAGAAAAACCCCAACUGGAGGCAAACCACGACUGAAGACGAGGGAGCAGCAACAAGUGAACCAGCCCGAGGACUGAGAGCACCGACUGGAGAGAACCCAUCUGACUCGGAGAUUCCAGUGAUUCAGUCAGGAGAAAGUUUGAGAAGCUGUUGAAGCUUGUUUGGAAGGGAAAAGGGAGGAGUGACAACGGAGCAGCAAUGGCUGGAGUUUCUGGGAGCAUUUUGGAAGCUGAGUCAUCGAUGCAUCCCAAAGAAGUGGAAGCAUUGGAAAGGCAGGAGGACACAACCGUGGCUGAAAUGAGAAGCCAAAAACAACAUAAAAGCCAAAGAGAGGGGAAAACAAAAGAGCAAACAUUAUUUGGAAGCUUUUAGAACCUAACAGAAGACAACUAAAAAAAAGUCAGAUGAGCGCAGGAAGUGGAAUUAUGAUUUGUAGUCAUUAAUGAGUCUUGGCAGCACCCAACAGUCUGAGGCAUUUAGAGGAACAAAAUAUCCGGGGCCUCAAUAUUUCCUGAAAAUCAAGGUUCCCUGCACUGGUUACGUUUCAACUUUUAUGUUUUUAGGCACAUACAAACUCUACACUCUCAAAAUUUCACUUCUCAAUGCCUCCCACUUACCAAGUACUCCUUUGCCAGGAAACAGACUGUCCCAAGCCACACUUGUCAGAUCCUUCCUGAUACCAUCAAAAUUGACUUUUCUCCAAUUUAGAAUCUCAACCCGUGGUCCAGACCUCUCUUUCUCUAUCUUUAUUUUGAAUUUCAUGGCAUUAUGAUCACUAAUUUCUGUCACAGGCCCUGAUCAUUUCCUAACAGCUUAUUGCACACUUCUACGUCAGGAAUUUUACAUACUGAUUAAGGGCACAUUUGAGAAACUCUACCCCAUCUACCCCUUUUACACUAUUCGAGUCCCAAUCAAUACAGGUAGUCCCUGAGUUACAAAUGUCCGACUUACGAGCAACUUGUACUUACGAACCGAGGAAGGAGAAUGCAGUCCACCAUUUUAAGUCAUUGCCUCUAACACUGUGUUGAGUGUUUAACUUUGUAUUGGGCUUAAAUUUUUCUUAGUAAGAUUUACCCUGACACCACAAACCCCUCCCACCAUUCCUGUCAGCUGGUGGCGCAGUCAGCUCAGCACUGGGCUAGAGAACGGAGGUUCUCGAGUUUGUUUUAGUGACAGACUGCUCCCGUGCCGGGUUGAUGUCGAUCCAGUGACUCCCGUACCCUCCAUGCAGGGUUGAUGUUGAGCUCGCGACUCGACCUUGUAAAAAAAACACUGCCACCUCCAGUUUAAAUUCCCACACAGAACAUUGUGGAGGAUCAAAUACCCAAACCGAGCACAGCCCCCACUUGUCCCAUUUAACCUGUCUCAGUGUACAGUUUAGGACCUGGGGAAUUUAGUGUUGCAGUUCUUUGGACCCAGUGAAGCUUUGGAGCUGACAGAGGUCAGCACCCACCGCCUGCAGUGUUUCUGUUCCACUGACAGCAAGCAAUCGCACUUGAAAAUAAAGUGUGAAUAAGAAAGCAUUUGGAAAGAGGUGAAAUGCCAUCCGUCACUGGAAAAGCAUUAGGCUACAGUCGGUCAACUAUUGUAACAAUUUUAAAUGAUAAUGGAUAAAGUGAGAAUAAUGGAGCAUGUGAAAGUCCCUGCCCCGAUGAAAGCUAUAAUUAUUACUAAGCCACACAAUAGUUUAAUUAUUGGAAUACAUACUUAUAAGUGUUUUAUAUACAUAGAAAAGUAAAAUAUAUACUGUAUACUAAGACAAACGUUUGACUAACUGACACUAAAUAAUACUGGAUGUACUUGUUCCAACAUACGUACAAAUCUGGCUUAAAGACGGACUCAGGAAUGGAACUCAUAUGUAACCCGGGGACUGCCUGUAUAUCAAAAGUUAAAAUCCCUUACUGAAUCAACUUUUCUUUCUUGGCAUGGUCUGCAAUCUCUCUACAAAUUUGUUCCUCUAAAUCCCUCAGACUAUUGGGUGUAAACAAGUUCCAAUAAUGUCUAUAAUAUCAUAAUUCCCUUUCCUGAGCUCAUCGGGCUUUCCUACGAUGCUUCUUGCAUUGUGAUAUACACAGCUCAGCACAUUCAUCGUACCAUGCUCAACCAUGACUUCAAUGUUUGACUAAAUGAGACUCACCAAAC